AAUAAGUGCAGUUUUGCACUAUUCACCGUUCGUCUUGUUUGAAAAAAAAUUAUGAUUAGUAUUUUUAUUGCUAUUAGAUGAUAAAAUAUGAAUAGUACUUUAUGUGUAACUAAAUUUUUUAAAUUUUUUCAUAAAUUUUUUAAAUAAGAUGGAUAUUCACGACUACACUUAUU
RNAcentral lists this microRNA precursor (173 nucleotides) under Oryza rufipogon (brownbeard rice). Its description in RNAcentral is "MIR812 microRNA precursor family". It matches the Rfam family "MIR812 microRNA precursor family". The record is from Rfam by way of RNAcentral. Lineage: Eukaryota; Viridiplantae; Streptophyta; Magnoliopsida; Poales; Poaceae.